RNAcentral lists this ribosomal RNA (447 nucleotides) under uncultured bacterium. RNAcentral's name for it is "bacterial SSU rRNA". It matches the Rfam family "Bacterial small subunit ribosomal RNA", at positions 355 to 825 of the family's 1533-position model. The record is from RNAcentral.
UGGGGAAUCUUGGACAAUGGGCGCAAGCCUGAUCCAGCCAUGCCGCGUGAGUGAAGAAGGCCUUCGGGUUGUAAAGCUCUUUCGUCGGGGACGAUAAUGACGGUACCCGAAGAAGAAGCUCCGGCUAACUUCGUGCCAGCAGCCGCGGUAAUACGAAGGGAGCUAGCGUUGUUCGGAAUCACUGGGCGUAAAGCGCACGUAGGCGGAUAGUUAAGUCAGGGGUGAAAUCCUGGGGCUCAACCCCAGAACUGCCUUUGAUACUGGCUGUCUCGAGGUCGAGAGAGGUUGGUGGAAUUCCUAGUGUAGAGGUGAAAUUCGUAGAUAUUAGGAAGAACACCAGUGGCGAAGGCGGCCAACUGGCUCGAUACUGACGCUGAGGUGCGAAAGCGUGGGGAGCAAACAGGAUUAGAUACCCAAGUAGUCCCUGAGCGGGCUGGCAAGGCGCAU